UGUCUUUUAGAUUUUAUUAAAAGUCUGACCUGCCCAAUGAUAUAAUUGAAUGGCCGCGGUAUUUUGACCGUGCAAAGGUAGCAUAAUCAUUUGUCUCUUAAUUAGAGGCUAGAAUGAAUGGUUGGACGAGAAAUCAGCUUUCUUUAAUAUAUAAUUAGAACUUAAUUUUUGAGUCAAAAAGCUUAAAUUUUAUUAAGGGACGAGAAGACCCUAUAGAACUUUAUUAGUUUAUUAGACCACACAAUUUUUUGGUUUACUUGUGUGGUCUUUAUGUACUAAUUGUGUUGGGGUGACAUAGAAAUUUAAUUAACUUUCUUUUUAUUAUAAUCAUUAAUUAGUGUAUUUUUAGAUCCAGGUGUUUCUUGAUUGUAAGUUUAAGUUACCUUAGGGAUAACAGCGUAAUUCUUUUGGAGAGUCCUAAUCGAUGAAAGAGUUUGCGACCUCGAUGUUGGAUUAAAAUUAGUAUUAGGAGUAGAAGAUUAUAUACUAGGUCUGUUCGACCUUUAAAUUUUUACA
Molecule: ribosomal RNA, 516 nt
Filed under: Phymata severini
Lineage: Eukaryota; Metazoa; Arthropoda; Insecta; Hemiptera; Phymatidae
Description: partial large subunit ribosomal RNA
Rfam family: Bacterial large subunit ribosomal RNA
Source: RNAcentral